Non-coding RNA from Drosophila melanogaster (fruit fly), 603 nucleotides. The record is from Ensembl. NCBI's taxonomy places the organism in Eukaryota, Metazoa, Arthropoda, Insecta, Diptera, Drosophilidae.
GGGCUUAAAAAUGUAAAGCAAAUUAAAAAAAAAAAAAAAUCCUUAAAGUUACCGACCGGCUGAAGCUCUUUUGAACUUUGUUGUGCCUCAAGGAUGUUUUCAUAGUGGUUGCUUAAAAAUUCUCUUACUUGGCGAAGAAAAAGAAGCACAGAGGAGUCUUCCAGUGGCAGCGGUCCUUUGUUCGAUGGAAACCUUUUGGCAACGCACUUUGUUUGUCUACCGCCAACGGAGCAGCAGUAAACAAACUACUGGAGAGUGCAAAAUGCUAAAUUAUACUUAAGCCGCACAUACACAGGCGAAAUACACUCGUAGAUUGCACAAAGUGUCCGCCAAAGCGGAGCCACGCACCGGCCGGAAAAAAAGAACUCAAACGACGCCGCCGCCGCAAAGCGGAAAUGCACUCAAAGGGGCAAAAGCCCACGGAAGGGCGUGGCACCGGCACCACGCCCACUUCCCGGUAGCCCAACAUUUGCCCCAUCAUCAUCUACAUCGUCAUCGGCUUCAAUGGCGGCGGUUCUCUUUUUUCUGGCUUUGUGCAUUGUGCUCUCUGUUUGCUUGUUUGUCGCUACGUUGGUUUAACGACCACAAAAAGCAUGAAAUCGG